This 424-nucleotide long non-coding RNA is filed under the name Homo sapiens (human). RNAcentral describes it as "non-protein coding lnc-DIAPH3-14:1". The record is from RNAcentral. Lineage: Eukaryota; Metazoa; Chordata; Mammalia; Primates; Hominidae.
AACUAAAAUAGCUAACCUUAACCCUGCUCAUCUUGCCUCACUUAUUCCUUCCCAUGGAAACCACCGUAAAGGCUCUUGCCCAUCUUUUUCCAUCACUCCUGCCUUCUCGCUGACCAUACUGUCUCCCUAUUUGGUCCUGCAUGGAAUAGUACUUUCCUUUCUCUUGGGAUCUGUGAGUAACAAACUAUCUUUUCAGUGGCAAUUUACACUAAUUAAUUAAAAUUGUUUUCUCCAAUAAUAAAUUAACCUUAGCUUACUGUAACUUUUAAACUUUAUAAAUGUUUAAACUUUUUUUAACUUUUUUACUUUUUUGUAAUAACACUUCACUUACAACACAAACAUAUUGUACAGCUGUACAAAAAUGUCUUCUUUAUAUCCUCAUUUUAUAAGCUUUUUUAAUUAAAUUUUUCUUUUUUUUUUACUU